AGGACGAACGCUGGCGGCGUGCUUAACACAUGCAAGUCGAACGGUGAAGCCUUUCGGGGUGGAUCAGUGGCGAACGGGUGAGUAACACGUGAGCAAUCUGCCCUUGACUCUGGGAUAACUUCGGGAAACCGGAGCUAAUACCGGAUAUGACGCAUGGCCGCAUGGUCUGUGUGUGGAAAGAUUUAUUGGUCAGGGAUGAGCUCGCGGCCUAUCAGCUUGUUGGUGGGGUAAUAGGCGUACCAAGGACGACGACGGGUA
RNAcentral lists this ribosomal RNA (258 nucleotides) under uncultured soil bacterium. RNAcentral's name for it is "partial 16S ribosomal RNA". It matches the Rfam family "Bacterial small subunit ribosomal RNA", at positions 26 to 285 of the family's 1533-position model. The record is from RNAcentral.